RNAcentral lists this ribosomal RNA (458 nucleotides) under uncultured bacterium. RNAcentral describes it as "partial 16S ribosomal RNA". It matches the Rfam family "Bacterial small subunit ribosomal RNA", at positions 338 to 795 of the family's 1533-position model. The record is from RNAcentral.
CCUACGGGAGGCUGCAGUGGGGAAUAUUGCACAAUGGGGGAAACCCUGAUGCAGCGACGCCGCGUGAGUGAAGAAGUAAUUCGUUACGUAAAGCUCUAUCAGCAGGGAAGAAACACUGACCUUACGGUCAGCAGACGGUACCUGAGUAAGAAGCCCCGGCUAACUACGUGCCAGCAGCCGCGGUAAUACGUAGGGGGCAAGCGUUAUCCGGAUUCACUGGGUGUAAAGGGAGCGUAGACGGCGAGACAAGUCUGGAGUGAAAGGCCGGGGCCCAACCCCGGGACUGCUCUGGAAACUGCCUGGCUGGAGUACAGGAGAGGUAAGUGGAAUUCCUAGUGUAGCGGUGAAAUGCGUAGAUAUUAGGAGGAACACCAGUGGCGAAGGCGGCUUACUGGACUGUAACUGACGUUGAGGCUCGAAAGCGUGGGGAGCAAACAGGAUUAGAUACCCCAGUAGUC